GGAUGAGCCCGCGGCCUAUCAGCUUGUUGGUGGGGUAAUGGCCUACCAAGGCGGCGACGGGUAGCCGGCCUGAGAGGGUGUACGGCCACAUUGGGACUGAGAUACGGCCCAGACUCCUACGGGAGGCAGCAGUGGGGAAUAUUGCACAAUGGGCGCAAGCCUGAUGCAGCGACGCCGCGUGGGGGAUGAAGGCCUUCGGGUUGUAAACUCCUUUCGCUAGGGACGAAGCUUUGUUGUGACGGUACCUAGAUAAGAAGCACCGGCUAACUACGUGCCAGCAGCCGCGGUAAUACGUAGGGUGCGAGCGUUGUCCGGAAUUACUGGGCGUAAAGGGC
RNAcentral lists this ribosomal RNA (335 nucleotides) under uncultured bacterium. RNAcentral describes it as "bacterial SSU rRNA". It matches the Rfam family "Bacterial small subunit ribosomal RNA", at positions 223 to 568 of the family's 1533-position model. The record is from RNAcentral.